AAAAAGCGGAGGAAAAGAAACCAACAGGGAUUGCCUCAGUAACGGCGAGUGAAGCGGCAAAAGCUCAAAUUUGAAACCCUCGGGAUUGUAAUUUGAAGAUUUGGCAUUGGAGAAAGCUAACCCAAGUUGCUUGGAAUAGUACGUCAUAGAGGGUGACAACCCCGUCUGGCUAACCGUUCUCCAUGUAUUGCCUUAUCAAAGAGUCGAGUUGUUUGGGAAUGCAGCUCAAAGUGGGUGGUAAACUCCAUCUAAAGCUAAAUACUGGUGAGAGACCGAUAGCGAACAAGUACUGUGAAGGAAAGGUGAAAAGAACUUUGAAAAGAGAGUGAAAUAGUAUGUGAAAUUGUUGAUAGGGAAGGAAAUGAGUGGAGAGUGGCCGAGGUUUCAGCCGCCCCUCGUGGGCGGUGUACUGCCGACGCCGAGUCAUCGAUAGCGAGACGAGGGUUACAAAUGGGAGCGCCUUCGGGCGUUCUCCCCUAACCCUCCACACUGCCACUGCAGUCAUCAGA
Molecule: ribosomal RNA, 509 nt
Filed under: Yarrowia lipolytica
Lineage: Eukaryota; Fungi; Ascomycota; Dipodascomycetes; Dipodascales
Description: partial large subunit ribosomal RNA
Rfam family: Eukaryotic large subunit ribosomal RNA
Source: RNAcentral